RNAcentral lists this transfer RNA (63 nucleotides) under Synalpheus microneptunus. RNAcentral describes it as "tRNA-Cys". Lineage: Eukaryota; Metazoa; Arthropoda; Malacostraca; Decapoda; Alpheidae. The record is from RNAcentral.
GGCCAUGUAGUGGAAGUAAAACAUUAGACUGCAAUUCUGAAGAUGUAGGAAUUACCUUGGCUU